Molecule: long non-coding RNA, 522 nt
Filed under: Olea europaea subsp. europaea
Lineage: Eukaryota; Viridiplantae; Streptophyta; Magnoliopsida; Lamiales; Oleaceae
Source: RNAcentral
CAACCCCAUUACUGAGGCAUCCCAGAGCCUAUAAAAAUCAGUUCUCAUUUAAUGGGAACACAUACAAAGUAUACUCAAUCAUCACCGUUGUCAGGUUUUGCUUUAUAGAGCUGUAGAAAGAUGCUACCUCAUGCCAAGCAAAUGUUGAUUGAUCGUUUCAAGAAAACACAUGGCAUGAAGGUCGGAAUUUCCAUGAGAUGUGCCAUUGAGGACUUCGUCCUGAAGCCCUUUGGCAAGGGACAAUCGUCCCAACUUCCUAGGAGUCAAACUUCUACACCUUCAUCUAGUUCUUCUAUUAUAGCUCAUAUCCAGGAUAAGGUGAAGACACAUAUACAAGGUGAAAUAGAUGGUAUAGGUCUGGCAGAUUGCAUACAGAGCAUAGAGGCAGAUGUACCUUUACUUGGUGGUUUACCAAUACAUACAGCAGAUUUGGCAACAACAAGCAUUAUAAGAUUAGACGUGCCUGCAUUUAUCCUGAUACAUAGAGCACAGAUUCCACCUAGUUGGGAUCUCCAUUGAGCG